Molecule: long non-coding RNA, 212 nt
Filed under: Brassica napus (rape)
Lineage: Eukaryota; Viridiplantae; Streptophyta; Magnoliopsida; Brassicales; Brassicaceae
Description: long non-coding RNA (BNAP_LNC023294)
Source: RNAcentral
CAUUGUAAAUUAUAUAAACUUUAAAAUAAUAUCUUUCCAUGGUAAAUCAUGAAACAAUGCAUGUGCUCGUGCAUAGCACGGGAGAAAACUAGUAUUUAUAUAUAUGAGAAAAGAAUGCCUAUGAUCGUGGAGGAAGAAGAAGAGGUUUAAGUCCCGUCGGCUAUAUUACGGUGCGUUCUUCUAGUUCUUAAGUUUUAGUAGUCUUCAGAAAA